RNAcentral lists this long non-coding RNA (231 nucleotides) under Brassica rapa (field mustard). RNAcentral describes it as "long non-coding RNA (BRAP_LNC008188)". Lineage: Eukaryota; Viridiplantae; Streptophyta; Magnoliopsida; Brassicales; Brassicaceae. The record is from RNAcentral.
UCGAAUAUACCCCUUGUCCAUGAGGUCUUGGACCUGUCUCUCCAGCUCCUUAGCCUCCUCCGGAUUGACUCGGUAUGCGGCUCGGUUUGGAAGUGGGGCGCCUGGCACAAAGUCUAUCUGAUGUUCGAUGCCUCGGAGGGGUGGUAAGCCGGCUGGUAUCUCUUCAGGGAACACGUCCUUGUACUGGUCCAUUAGUUCUUGCAUCUCAGCUGGACAAUCUGGUGCUUCAAA